RNAcentral lists this ribosomal RNA (253 nucleotides) under uncultured bacterium. RNAcentral's name for it is "partial 16S ribosomal RNA". It matches the Rfam family "Bacterial small subunit ribosomal RNA", at positions 524 to 776 of the family's 1533-position model. The record is from RNAcentral.
UACGGGGGGGGCAAGCGUUGUUCGGAAUUACUGGGCGUAAAGGGCUCGUAGGCGGCCAACUAAGUCGGACGUGAAAUCCCCAGGCUCAACCUGGGAACUGCGUCCGAUACUGGAUGGCUUGAAUCCGGGAGAGGGAUGCAGAAUUCCAGGUGUAGCGGUGAAAUGCGUAGAUAUCUGGAGGAAUACCGGUGGCGCAGGCGGCAUCCUGGACCGGCAUUGACGCUGAGGAGCGAAAGCCAGGGGAGCAAACGGG